CGCUGGCGGCGCGCUUAACACAUGCAAGUCGAGCGAUGAAAUCUUAACAGAACCCUUCGGGGUGAAGAUAAGACGGAUUAGCGGCGGACGGGUGAGUAACACGUGAGUAACCUGCCUUUUACACAGGGAUAGCCUCGGGAAACCGGGAUUAAAACCUGAUGAAACUAUCAAAUCACAUGAUUAAGAAAGUUAAAACUCCGGUGGUAAAAGAUGGACUCGCGUCCCAUUAGCUAGUUGGUGAAGGUAACGGCCCACCAAGGCAACGAUGGGUAGCCGGCCUGAGAGGGUGAACGGCCACAUUGGAACUGAGAAACGGUCCAAACUCCUACGGGAGGCAGCAGUGGGGAAUAUUGCACAAUGGGGGGAACCCUGAUGCAGCGACGCCGCGUGAGCGAAGAAGGCCUUCGGGUCGUAAAGCUCUUUUAUAUGGGAAGAUAAUGACGGUACCAUAAGAAAAAGCCCCGGCUAACUACGUGCCAGCCGCCGCGGUAA
RNAcentral lists this ribosomal RNA (492 nucleotides) under uncultured Eubacteriales bacterium. RNAcentral describes it as "bacterial SSU rRNA". It matches the Rfam family "Bacterial small subunit ribosomal RNA", at positions 34 to 523 of the family's 1533-position model. The record is from RNAcentral. Lineage: Bacteria; Bacillati; Bacillota; Clostridia; Eubacteriales.